AUGAGGAACACUAAGGGAAAGAGGAGGGACACCAAUAUAUGUUCUCUAGGCCUUUUAGAAAACAUGGAGUUGUUCCUUUGGCCACAACCAUGCAAAUCUACAAGAAAGGUUAUGUUGCAGACAUCAAGGGAAUGGGAACUGUUCAAAAAUGCCCCACACAUGCAUUCACUGAAUGCCCCACACAUGUUACCACGGCAAAACUGGAAGAGCCUAUCAACAGUGUUCUUGGACACAAACAAAUUAAAGGCAAGAUUCUUGCUGAGAGAAUUAAUGUGUUUAUUGAGCAUAUUAAGCAGUCUAAGGGCCAAGAUAACUUCCUGAAGCAUGUAAAGGAAAAGGAUCAGAAAAAGAAGGAAGCAAAAGAGAAAAGUACCUGAAGUGCCAGCCUUCUCCACUUUGUGAAGCUCACUUUGUGAGAACCAAUGGAAAGAAGCCUAAGUUGCUUGGAACCUAUUCCCUACGAAUUCAUAGCAU
RNAcentral lists this long non-coding RNA (474 nucleotides) under Homo sapiens (human). RNAcentral describes it as "non-protein coding lnc-ARG2-8:1". Lineage: Eukaryota; Metazoa; Chordata; Mammalia; Primates; Hominidae. The record is from RNAcentral.